ACUACACCUUCUUAAGAGAAACAGAACUGUACUCACUGCUGUAGACCUGAAGAAAGAUUUGAAUGCGUGAAAUGAACUACAGUUCCUCAUAGGGUUCUGUAACAUCUCAGGAAGAACUACCUGAAGAAGGAACCACAAUCUCAGGAGAUAAUAUCUUUAAAAGGUUUUGAGAGGAUAAAUGCAGAAGUGUUUGAGCUGACAGGAUGCUCUGAUGACAAGACACAAGUUAACUACGAAGGGAGAAUGAAGAUGCUCUUCCUUCUUUUCUUAUACACAGAGCCUGCCUUUGUUUCCUCCUGAAUUAGUCUGGUCUUAACCAGUAUUUACUUUCAUACAUUGAUCUAUGGCUUUUCUCUUCCUCUGCACAACUUUAUUUUAGGACCCUAUAACACUAGAAGGUCAGCUAAAAUAUUCUUGCCUUUAUUUUUAUCGAAUAUUUCACAUAAAUGCUAACAUAUACAAUAUGUCAGGCUCUUAAUCCAGUCAAAUGAUUACAAAUGGUGUUAAGAAGAGAAAACUGCUUUAAUGAGUGAAUUUUGAGAGCAGAAGAUCUUGAAACUCAGUGUUUAUGUAUUACAACUUUUGAUAUAAUAUUUUGCAUAUGUUUAGGGUGAUAAAACAGUAGGACCAGUAGGAUUGUCUUUUCAUUAUUGCAUUUUUUUUUUCUUAGAGAUGUGGGAAAAUGUUCUUGAUUAAAUGAGUCUGCUUGUAGAUU
This is a long non-coding RNA of Tympanuchus pallidicinctus (lesser prairie-chicken), 715 nucleotides long. RefSeq lists it as uncharacterized. The record is from RefSeq and is a predicted model, not a curated record. The transcript is spliced from 3 exons. Lineage: Eukaryota; Metazoa; Chordata; Aves; Galliformes; Phasianidae.